CAAAUGAUUGACGGGACCGCACAAGCGGUGGAUGAUGUGGUUUAAUUCGAUGCAACGCGAAAACCUUACCACCUUUGACAUGUACGGAAUCCUUUAGAGAUAGAGGAGUGCUCGAAAGAGAGCCGUAACACAGGUGCUGCAUGGCUGUCGUCAGCUCGUGUCGUGAGAUGUUGGGUUAAGUCCCGCAACGAGCGCAACCCUUGUCAUUAGUUGCUACAUUCAGUUGGGCACUCUAAUGAGACUGCCGGUGACAAGCCGGAGGAAGGUGGGGAUGACGUCAAGUCCUCAUGGCCCUUAUAGGUGGGGCUACACACGUCAUACAAUGGCUGGUACAAAGGGUUGCCAACCCGCGAGGGGGAGCCAAUCCCAUAAAGCCAGUCGUAGUCCGGAUCGUAGUCUGCAACUCGACUACGUGAAGUCGGAAUCGCUAGUAAUCGUGGAUCAGAAUGUCACGGUGAAUACGUUCCCGGGUCUU
RNAcentral lists this ribosomal RNA (475 nucleotides) under uncultured Rhodoferax sp. RNAcentral's name for it is "bacterial SSU rRNA". It matches the Rfam family "Bacterial small subunit ribosomal RNA", at positions 904 to 1382 of the family's 1533-position model. Lineage: Bacteria; Pseudomonadati; Pseudomonadota; Betaproteobacteria; Burkholderiales; Comamonadaceae. The record is from RNAcentral.